GGGUUGUGAGGUUAAGCGACUAAGCGUACACGGUGGAUGCCCUGGCAGUCAGAGGCGAUGAAGGGCGUGCUAAUCUGCGAUAAGCGCCGGUAAGGUGAUAUGAACCGUUAUAACCGGCGAUACCCGAAUGGGGAAACCCAGUGUGACUCGUCACACUAUCAUUAACUGAAUCCAUAGGUUAAUGAGGCGAACCGGGGGAACUGAAACAUCUAAGUACCCCGAGGAAAAGAAAUCAACCGAGAUUCCCCCAGUAGCGGCGAGCGAACGGGGAGGAGCCCAGAGCCUGAAUCAGCAUGUGUGUUAGUGGAAGCGUCUGGAAAGGCGCGCGAUACAGGGUGACAGCCCCGUACACAAAAGCGCAUGUGCUGUGAGCUCGAUGAGUAGGGCGGGACACGUGGUAUCCUGUCUGAAUAUGGGGGGACCAUCCUCCAAGGCUAAAUACUCCUGACUGACCGAUAGUGAACCAGUACCGUGAGGGAAAGGCGAAAAGAACCCCGGCGAGGGGAGUGAAAAAGAACCUGAAACCGUGUACGUACAAGCAGUGGGAGCACAGGUUUACCUGUGUGACUGCGUACCUUUUGUAUAAUGGGUCAGCGACUUAUAUUCUGUAGCAAGGUUAACCGAAUAGGGGAGCCGGAGGGAAACCGAGUCUUAAUUGGGCGUUAAGUUGCAGGGUAUAGACCCGAAACCCGGUGAUCUAGCCAUGGGCAGGUUGAAGGUUGGGUAACACUAACUGGAGGACCGAACCGACUAAUGUUGAAAAAUUAGCGGAUGACCUGUGGCUGGGGGUGAAAGGCCAAUCAAACCGGGAGAUAGCUGGUUCUCCCCGAAAGCUAUUUAGGUAGCGCCUCGUGAAUUCAUCUCCGGGGUAGAGCACUGUUUCGGCUAGGGGGCCAUCCCGGCUUACCAACCCGAUGCAAACUGCGAAUACCGGAGAAUGUUAUCACGGGAGACACACGGCGGGUGCUAACGUCCGUCGUGAAGAGGGAAACAACCCAGACCGCCAGCUAAGGUCCCAAAGUCAUGGUUAAGUGGGAAACGAUGUGGGAAGGCCCAGACAGCCAGGAUGUUGGCUUAGAAGCAGCCAUCAUUUAAAGAAAGCGUAAUAGCUCACUGGUCGAGUCGGCCUGCGCGGAAGAUGUAACGGGGCUAAACCAUGCACCGAAGCUGCGGCAGCGACACUGUGUGUUGUUGGGUAGGGGAGCGUUCUGUAAGCCUGUGAAGGUGUGUCGUGAGGCAUGCUGGAGGUAUCAGAAGUGCGAAUGCUGACAUAAGUAACGAUAAAGCGGGUGAAAAGCCCGCUCGCCGGAAGACCAAGGGUUCCUGUCCAACGUUAAUCGGGGCAGGGUGAGUCGACCCCUAAGGCGAGGCCGAAAGGCGUAGUCGAUGGGAAACAGGUUAAUAUUCCUGUACUUGGUGUUACUGCGAAGGGGGACGGAGAAGGCUAUGUUGGCCGGGCGACGGUUGUCCCGGUUUAAGCGUGUAGGUGUGUGUUCCAGGUAAAUCCGGUUCACUUUAACACUGAGGCGUGAUGACGAGGCACUACGGUGCUGAAGCAACAAAUGCCCUGCUUCCAGGAAAAGCCUCUAAGCAUCAGGUAACAUCAAAUCGUACCCCAAACCGACACAGGUGGUCAGGUAGAGAAUACCAAGGCGCUUGAGAGAACUCGGGUGAAGGAACUAGGCAAAAUGGUGCCGUAACUUCGGGAGAAGGCACGCUGACACGUAGGUGAAGUGAUUUACUCAUGGAGCUGAAGUCAGUCGAAGAUACCAGCUGGCUGCAACUGUUUAUUAAAAACACAGCACUGUGCAAACACGAAAGUGGACGUAUACGGUGUGACGCCUGCCCGGUGCCGGAAGGUUAAUUGAUGGGGUCAGCGCAAGCGAAGCUCCUGAUCGAAGCCCCGGUAAACGGCGGCCGUAACUAUAACGGUCCUAAGGUAGCGAAAUUCCUUGUCGGGUAAGUUCCGACCUGCACGAAUGGCGUAAUGAUGGCCAGGCUGUCUCCACCCGAGACUCAGUGAAAUUGAACUCGCUGUGAAGAUGCAGUGUACCCGCGGCAAGACGGAAAGACCCCGUGAACCUUUACUAUAGCUUGACACUGAACAUUGAGCCUUGAUGUGUAGGAUAGGUGGGAGGCUUUGAAGCGUGGACGCCAGUCUGCGUGGAGCCGACCUUGAAAUACCACCCUUUAAUGUUUGAUGUUCUAACGUGGACCCGUAAUCCGGGUUGCGGACAGUGUCUGGUGGGUAGUUUGACUGGGGCGGUCUCCUCCUAAAGAGUAACGGAGGAGCACGAAGGUUGGCUAAUCCUGGUCGGACAUCAGGAGGUUAGUGCAAUGGCAUAAGCCAGCUUGACUGCGAGCGUGACGGCGCGAGCAGGUGCGAAAGCAGGUCAUAGUGAUCCGGUGGUUCUGAAUGGAAGGGCCAUCGCUCAACGGAUAAAAGGUACUCCGGGGAUAACAGGCUGAUACCGCCCAAGAGUUCAUAUCGACGGCGGUGUUUGGCACCUCGAUGUCGGCUCAUCACAUCCUGGGGCUGAAGUAGGUCCCAAGGGUAUGGCUGUUCGCCAUUUAAAGUGGUACGCGAGCUGGGUUUAGAACGUCGUGAGACAGUUCGGUCCCUAUCUGCCGUGGGCGCUGGAGAACUGAGGGGGGCUGCUCCUAGUACGAGAGGACCGGAGUGGACGCAUCACUGGUGUUCGGGUUGUCAUGCCAAUGGCACUGCCCGGUAGCUAAAUGCGGAAGAGAUAAGUGCUGAAAGCAUCUAAGCACGAAACUUGCCCCGAGAUGAGUUCUCCCUGAGACUUAGAGUCUCCUGAAGGAACGUUGAAGACGACGACGUUGAUAGGCCGGGUGUGUAAGCGCAGCGAUGCGUUGAGCUAACCGGUACUAAUGAACCGUGAGGCUUAACCUUACAACGCCGAAGCUGUU
RNAcentral lists this ribosomal RNA (2931 nucleotides) under Salmonella enterica subsp. enterica serovar Newport str. CVM 21538. RNAcentral describes it as "bacterial LSU rRNA". It matches the Rfam family "Bacterial large subunit ribosomal RNA". Lineage: Bacteria; Pseudomonadati; Pseudomonadota; Gammaproteobacteria; Enterobacterales; Enterobacteriaceae. The record is from RNAcentral.